UCGAAAGAAAGAUUAAUACCCGAUGGCAUAGUUCUUCCGCAUGGUGGAACUAUUAAAGAAUUUCGGUCAUCGAUGGGGAUGCGUUCCAUUAGGUUGUUGGCGGGGUAACGGCCCACCAAGCCUUCGAUGGAUAGGGGUUCUGAGAGGAAGGUCCCCCACAUUGGAACUGAGACACGGUCCAAACUCCUACGGGAGGCAGCAGUGAGGAAUAUUGGUCAAUGGACGAGAGUCUGAACCAGCCAAGUAGCGUGAAGGAUGACUGCCCUAUGGGUUGUAAACUUCUUUUAUACGGGAAUAAAGUGAGGCACGCGUGCCUUUUUGUAUGUACCGUAUGAAUAAGGAUCGGCUAACUCCGUGCCAGCAGCCGCGGUAAUACGGAGGAUCCGAGCGUUAUCCGGAUUUAUUGGGUUUAAAGGGAGCGUAGGCGGACGCUUAAGUCAGUUGUGAAAGUUUGCGGCUCAACCGUAAAAUUGCAGUUGAUACUGGGUGUCUUGAGUACAGUAGAGGCAGGCGGAAUUCGUGGUGUAGCGGUGAAAUGCUUAGAUAUCACGAAGAACUCCGAUUGCGAAGGCAGCUU
This 577-nucleotide ribosomal RNA is filed under the name uncultured Bacteroidales bacterium. RNAcentral's name for it is "bacterial SSU rRNA". It matches the Rfam family "Bacterial small subunit ribosomal RNA", at positions 151 to 727 of the family's 1533-position model. The record is from RNAcentral. Lineage: Bacteria; Pseudomonadati; Bacteroidota; Bacteroidia; Bacteroidales.